UUGUACAUAUGAAUAUCUUGAAGAACCAAAAUGUCAGUUCUACAAUGACAGGUCAGGGUUAGACUAUGCAGACUGGAUUAAAUAUUAUAACAAAACACCAUCAGAGGAUACAGGACCUGAAAGUGCCAUAGGUGGCAAAUACUACAUGUAUAUUGAGGCGUCUACUAUGAAUUUAGGACAAAAUGCACGUCUCAUUUCCAGUUUGCUAUCUACAGACACACAGCUAUGUUUGUCUUUCUACUACCACAUGUUUGGGGACAGCAUCGGAGAAUUGCAGGUGAUAAUCAAUACUUCAGGAUCAAAUCGGAUCAUCUUUAGAAAGUCAAAUAGCCAAGGAAAUUACUGGCAUUACAAGGAGCUGUUUUUGCAACCAGCAAAUCAA
Mytilus californianus (California mussel) is the source of this 382-nucleotide long non-coding RNA. RefSeq lists it as uncharacterized. NCBI's taxonomy places the organism in Eukaryota, Metazoa, Mollusca, Bivalvia, Mytilida, Mytilidae. The record is from RefSeq and is a predicted model, not a curated record. The transcript has 3 exons.